GAUGAACGCUGGCGGCGUGCCUAAUACAUGCAAGUCGAGCGAACAGACGAGGAGCUUGCUCCUCUGACGUUAGCGGCGGACGGGUGAGUAACACGUGGAUAACCUACCUAUAAGACUGGGAUAACUUCGGGAAACCGGAGCUAAUACCGGAUAAUAUAUUGAACCGCAUGGUUCAAUAGUGAAAGACGGUUUUGCUGUCACUUAUAGAUGGAUCCGCGCCGCAUUAGCUAGUUGGUAAGGUAACGGCUUACCAAGGCAACGAUGCGUAGCCGACCUGAGAGGGUGAUCGGCCACACUGGAACUGAGACACGGUCCAGACUCCUACGGGAGGCAGCAGUAGGGAAUCUUCCGCAAAGGGCGAAAGCCUGACGGAGCAACGCCGCGUGAGUGAUGAAGGUCUUCGGAUCGUAAAACUCUGUUAUUAGGGAAGAACAAAUGUGUAAGUAACUAUGCACGUCUUGACGGUACCUAAUCAGAAUGCCACGGCUAACUACGUG
RNAcentral lists this ribosomal RNA (497 nucleotides) under uncultured bacterium. RNAcentral describes it as "partial 16S ribosomal RNA". It matches the Rfam family "Bacterial small subunit ribosomal RNA", at positions 28 to 507 of the family's 1533-position model. The record is from RNAcentral.